GCGUAAAGCGCACGCAGGCGGUCUGUCAAGUCGGAUGUGAAAUCCCCGGGCUCAACCUGGGAACUGCAUUCGAAACUGGCAGGCUUGAGUCUUGUAGAGGGGGGUAGAAUUCCAGGUGUAGCGGUGAAAUGCGUAGAGAUCUGGAGGAAUACCGGUGGCGAAGGCGGCCCCCUGGACAAAGACUGACGCUCAGGUGCGAAAGCGUGGGGAGCAAACAGGAUUAGAUACCCUGGUAGUCCACGCCGUAAACGAUGUCUACUUGGAGGUUGUGCCCUUGAGGCGUGGCUUCCGGAGCUAACGCGUUAAGUAGACCGCCUGGGGAGUACGGCCGCAAGGUUAAAACUCAAAUGAAUUGACGGGGGCCCGCACAAGCGGUGGAGCAUGUGGUUUAAUUCGAUGCAACGCGAAGAACCUUACCUGGUCUUGACAUCCACGGAAGUUUUCAGAGAUGAGAAUGUGCCUUCGGGAACCGUGAGACAGGUGCUGCAUGGCUGUCGUCAGCUCGUGUUGUGAAAUGUUGGGUUAAGUCCCGCAACGAGCGCAACCCUUAUCCUUUGUUGCCAGCGGUCCGGCCGGGAACUCAAAGGAGACUGCCAGUGAUAAACUGGAGGAAGGUGGGGAUGACGUCAAGUCAUCAUGGCCCUUACGACCAGGGCUACACACGUGCUACAAUGGCGCAUACAAAGAGAAGCGACCUCGCGAGAGCAAGCGGACCUCAUAAAGUGCGUCGUAGUCCGGAUUGGAGUCUGCAACUCGACUCCAUGAAGUCGGAAUCGCUAGUAAUCGUGGAUCAGAAUGCCACGGUGAAUACGUUCCCGGGCCUUGUACACACCGCCCGUCACACCAUGGGAGUGGGUUGCAAAAGAAGUAGGUAGCUUAACCUUCGGGAGGGCGCUUACCACUUUGUGAUUCAUGACUGGGGUGAAGUCGUAACAAGGUAACCGUAGGGGAACCUGC
This 957-nucleotide ribosomal RNA is filed under the name Salmonella enterica subsp. enterica serovar Weltevreden. Its description in RNAcentral is "bacterial SSU rRNA". It matches the Rfam family "Bacterial small subunit ribosomal RNA", at positions 558 to 1515 of the family's 1533-position model. The record is from RNAcentral. Lineage: Bacteria; Pseudomonadati; Pseudomonadota; Gammaproteobacteria; Enterobacterales; Enterobacteriaceae.